CCGAUUGUUCUGUGUAUGUUUUCUUGCAGCUCUUAUCAUGGCCUUCACCCUCCCAAACUCCGUCUAUGCACAAAAACCUAUAUUUAAAGAAGUCAGCGUCCAUGACCCUUCCAUCAUUGAAACAAACGGCACUUUUUAUGUUUUUGGAUCUCAUCUCGCUUCAGCUAAAUCGAAUGACCUCAUGCAAUGGCAGCAGCUGACCACCAGCGUAAGCAAUGACAACCCACUUAUCCCGAAUGUCUAUAAAGAAUUAAAAGAAACCUUCGAAUGGGCGCAAUCCGAUACUCUUUGGGCGGCUGACGUCACGCAGCUGGCGGACGGCAAAUACUACAUGUACUACAACGCCUGCCGCGGCGAUUCGCCAAGAUCCGCCAUGGGUGUUGCCGUUGCUGACAACAUCGAAGGCCCAUACAAAAACAAAGGCAUCUUUUUGAAAUCAGGAAUGGAAGGCACAAGCAACGAUGGAACACCGUAUGACGCAACCAAACAUCCGAAUGUCGUCGACCCGCAUACCUUCUUUGAUAAAGACGGCAAGCUGUGGAUGGUGUACGGAUCAUACUCAGGCGGCAUUUUCAUACUUGAAAUGAAUCCGAAAACGGGCUUCCCGCUUCCUGGACAGGGAUACGGGAAAAAACUGCUCGGCGGCAACCAUAGCAGAAUCGAAGGCCCGUAUGUUCUCUACAAUCCAGACACCAAAUACUACUACUUAUACCUAUCAUAUGGCGGUCUUGAUGCAACAGGCGGCUAUAACAUCCGUGUGGUCCGCUCCAAGAAACCAGACGGCCCUUACUAUGAUGCAGAAGGCAAUCCAAUGCUUGACGUCCGCGGCAAAGAAGGCACAUUCUUCGACGACCGUUCCAUCGAACCAUACGGCGUCAAACUCAUGGGCAGCUACACUUUUGAAACAGAAAAUGAAAAAGGCACCGGGUACGUCUCACCAGGCCACAACUCCGCAUACUAUGAUGAAAAAACCGGGCGUUCCUAUUUAAUCUUCCACACCCGCUUCCCGGGCAGGGGUGAAGAACACGAAGUCAGAGUCCACCAAUUGUUCAUGAACAAAGACGGCUGGCCGGUAGCAGCACCAUAUCGUUAUGCGGGCGAAACAUUGAAAGAAGUAAAACAAAAAGACAUCACAGGAACAUACAAACUUAUCCAGCACGGAAAAGACAUCUCAGCCGACAUCAAACAAACCAUCAUUAUCCAGCUCAACAAAAACCACACCAUUUCCGGGGAAAUGACCGGAACAUGGCAGAAAACCGGAAAAAACACAGCCGACAUCACGUUAGCUGGCAAGAAGUAUAACGGGGUAUUUUUACGCCAGUGGGAUUCGGUGAGAGAGAAGAACGUCAUGACGUUUAGUGUUUUGAAUGGCAACGGUGAGGCUGUAUGGGGAUCUAAAUAAGAUGGAGAAGGCGCCUUCUAGAGAAGGCGCUUUUUUAUGAGCUUUAUUGACUAUAAGAAAUGGUUGAGCGAGAGAAAAAACAGAAGUGAUUGCGGGGUUCAAGACCUAAACGAAAAGUCCCCAUUAUGAUGAUUCUCCCUCUUACAAAGUUAUGAAAUUGAAUUUUUAGCUAUUUAGAACCGGUAUAAAGUUCCUCAAGACAAUCCUUUUUACCUAUUUAUCCAAUAUGACCCAUCAUGUAAUAUGAAAAUAGUCUGUAUUGUAAAGAAUUGACACAGUUUGAUAGAAACACGAGGUGUUGCGGCAUGCAUAGUGAAAUGUUGUUACAUUCGGUAAAAGCCGACUUACAUGAAAAGCAGGAACAGAUCCAUCAAUUAAAACGAGUGCUGCACGAAAUCAGGCAAAUCAAACACGAAUUCUCCGAGGCCCAGCAUCUCAUUCACCGGCCUCAUCUUAACCGGGAGGCAUGGAGAGGAACACAUGCUCAGCGGUUUGAAGAUAUUCGUGAAGGAAUGAACAAAGCAUAUCAGCAAAUCAAAAGCGAUCAAGUCAACGGAAUCAUCGAAAGCAUAGAAGGAAAAAUCCACUCAUUAGAGGGCGAUGUCUAUUCCAUAAGACGCCAAAUUACGAGGAUAGAGCAUGAAAUAGAGAAGGAAAAACAUAAAAAAGUGAGGUGAGCACAAAUGGCACAGGAAAUUAAAAUGGUGUAUGGCACAGUGAAGCAAGGGCUUUCUCAGCUCAAGAAUUCAGCUGAACUCAAGUCCUCCUUACCCGGCCAUCUCUCAGGCAGAAACCAUUUGAAUGUUGUGAAGUCCAUCGAGCAAUUAAAUAAGGACAUCAAAGAGCUCACUGAAGCAUAUGCGUCUGUUCUGGCCAAGCAUAUCGCACAAACGGAAAGCGCGGUAAACGCCAUGAAGGAAACGGACGAAAACAUAUCAUCUUCCAUGAAAUAAAGCGCGGGAGGACAAGGGAUUGAAAACAUUAGAUGUCCACGCUCUUCACGAGGGCAUUCAGCAUACGAUUGAGAAACUGGACAAGCAAAAACAACAGCUGGAGAAGCUGGAAAAAAGCGUUGAGCAUCUGGCAGGCAUGAAGGAUGCGCUGAAAGGAAAAGGCGGAGAUGCCAUCCGGACCUUUUACGAGGAGUGCCACAAGCCUUUUCUCCUUUUCUUUGGCAUGUUUAUCGACGAAUACAAAAAAGUGCUGAAACAAACCCAGCAUGCGAUUUCCUCUGUAGAAUCUGACUCCCACGGCAUGAUCGCAGAGGCUUUUCUCUCACACGAUGCGAGACAUGGGGUCAAGCAUGCACGAGAAGUGACAGAGCAGCUCACUGACGCAGUCAAUCGCCAAACAUCAGCCAUCGAUCACAUCGUCAGCCUGCCGACAGUCAAUGAUUCCUUUUUUCGGAUGGAAACAGAACAGGCUGAGCGGCUGAUUUCAGACACCCUGAAUAAGCUCUUUCAAUUUGACGGCCAGCAAACCCAAGCAUUAGAAACCGCAAAAUCAGAUUUUCAAACGAUGAAAAA
RNAcentral lists this ribosomal RNA (2928 nucleotides) under Bacillus subtilis subsp. subtilis str. BSP1. RNAcentral's name for it is "23S ribosomal RNA". The record is from RNAcentral. Lineage: Bacteria; Bacillati; Bacillota; Bacilli; Caryophanales; Bacillaceae.